RNAcentral lists this transfer-messenger RNA (379 nucleotides) under Hyphomicrobium sp. It matches the Rfam family "Alphaproteobacteria transfer-messenger RNA". From Rfam's summary of the family: Bacterial tmRNA, also known as 10Sa RNA or SsrA, is named for its dual tRNA and mRNA-like properties. Lineage: Bacteria; Pseudomonadati; Pseudomonadota; Alphaproteobacteria; Hyphomicrobiales; Hyphomicrobiaceae. The record is from RNAcentral.
AAUCUUUUUUUUUGCCCGCUCAUGGCUAUAUUGGGUAUGCCGGAUUCGUCCGGCUAUGGUGAUAAACGCGGUCGGAAUAAGCCUUUCGGACCCGGGGGCGGUACCCGGCGCCUCCACCACAAACCGCAGCUCUGGCCAGAUCUUGGUCCUGGCAGCGGUUUGUGGCGGGGGCGAAAUAGGUUCGACGAGGGGUAUAAAGGGCUUGCUUUUGCUCGGCAUGGUUCCGCCGUUAUCGGGCCAUCCAGAAUAGUUGCCAAUGACAACUAUGCUGAGGUUGCUCUCGCUGCGUAAUGCGGCGCGAUCGACCUGAACUCAAGUCCUUGCUCCUAGCCGGGUAAGGCGCGGUUCGGAGGGCACCGGGCAACAGAAGCCCUCCACU